GUAAGUGUCGACUGUGCAAGCUGUUUGAUGUGGUCCGGUGACCUCAUUGAUAUUUCCGAAGUUUCAGAAGUGUACCGAGGAGAAGAUGUCUUUAUAAGGUUGCCGGCUUCCAGUCUAGGAUUAACCCGAGAUUCAAGUUCAAGGAACAGACUAACGGGUUAUCGUACUGGUCUCAAUCAUUUCUGGUGCAAUCAUCUUGGGCCUAGUAUUUUUCAUAAUCUGGAAGAAAUCAAGGAAAAGAGAUGAAUCACUUCAUUUAACAAGAUUGGAAGGUGGGAAAGAUGAAAGAGAAGUGCCCUUAUUCGACUUGUCGAGCACGAAACUGCCACCGAUAAUUUCUCUUUUCACAAUUUAAUUGAAGAGGACGACUUUGGUCCUGUUUACAAGGGCAAUCUUCCAACGGGACAGGAAAUAGCAGUGAAGAGGCUAUCAAAAGGCUGAGCUCAGGGUGUUGAACAGUUCACGAAUGAAGUCGUUUUGAUAGCCAAACUUCAACAUAGGAAUCUUGUUGGACUGCUUGGUUGCUGCAUUCAAGGAGAAGAAAGGAUGUUAAUCUACGAGUAUAUGCCCAACAAAAGCUUGGAUUGCUUGAUAUUCGGUCAUAAAAGAAGAGCACAACUAUCAUGGAAAAACAGGUUCGAUAUUGUUCUAGGGAUCGCAAGAGGGCUGCUCUAUCUCCACCAGGAUUCUAAACUUCAAAUUAUUCAUAGGGAUCUCGAAGCAAAUAACAUUUUACUAGACAGCAACUAUAUCCCAAAAAUUUCAGAUUUUGGCCUGGCAAGAAUCACAGGUGGCAACGAUGAGG
This is a long non-coding RNA of Hibiscus syriacus, 805 nucleotides long. RefSeq lists it as uncharacterized. Lineage: Eukaryota; Viridiplantae; Streptophyta; Magnoliopsida; Malvales; Malvaceae. The record is from RefSeq and is a predicted model, not a curated record. The transcript is spliced from 5 exons.